This 772-nucleotide non-coding RNA is filed under the name Anoeconeossa unicornuta. The record is from RNAcentral. Lineage: Eukaryota; Metazoa; Arthropoda; Insecta; Hemiptera; Aphalaridae.
UUGUUAGGUUUUAUGUUUAAACACUAUAAUAUAUUUUAUUUUAGUAUGAAGUUUUUCUUGUUUCUUUUUUUUACAUACAAUUUUUAGUGUUAAAUGUUUAGUAAGUAGUAAAUAUAAUUAAUUAUUUAAUGAGAAUUAGAUUUAGAUAUAGAAAAUUUAAAAUUAACUAAUUUUGUGCCAGCAGUUGCGGUUAUACAAUUAAUUUUGGGGGAAAUUAAUGGUUGAAGUAAUUUGUUUGUGCCAUAGAAUAACAGUAAAUUUUAAAUUAAAGAGUAAAAUCUUAAUUUAAUCUCUCAUUUUUAAUAUUAAAUUACGAAAUUCAUAAAUAGACUAGGAUUAGAUACCCUAUUAUUCGAAUGUAAAUAUCUCUGGAGUAGUAUUUGGUAUGAUCAUCAAACUCAAAUAAUUUGGCGGUAUUUUAUCUAAUCAGAGGAACCUGUCUAUUAAUUGAUAAUCCACAACUUUAUUUAAUCUUAAUUAAAUUACUUGUAUACCGCCGUCAUGAAUGUAUUAGAAAAUUAUUUUCAUUAAAUUUUAUGAAUUUUAUGUUAGGUCAAGGUGCAGUCUAUUAAGAAUUUUUGAUGGGUUACAAAUAAUAAAAUGAAUGGAUUUAAAUUCUUAUAUUUUAAUGAAAAAGGAUUUGAUAGUAAAAUUAUAAAAGUAAUAUAAUGAAUUAAGAUUCUAGAAUAUGUACACAUUGCCCGUCACUCUUGUUUAACAUAAGAUAAGUCGUAACAUAGUAGAUGUACCGGAAGGUGUAUCUGGACAGGAG